This 453-nucleotide long non-coding RNA is filed under the name Androctonus crassicauda. The record is from RNAcentral. Lineage: Eukaryota; Metazoa; Arthropoda; Arachnida; Scorpiones; Buthidae.
AUUCAGACGACUGUGAAAUAUCGCUGAUGGAACUGGAAUUUAACAGCUGGAACCUAAUAUAAUAAUACACAAAAAUAUUAGUUGUGGCCAAAAGAAUGCUUUAAUUCCUCUCAAAUAGAAAUAACACGCGCACAUUUCAGAUACAUCGAUAACAUGCAGUGUAUCUUCGACGUUCAGUAUUCGACCAAACCUACUGGAACUGAUGGACUCAACUUCGUCUGAUUGCUUUACGUAAUCCGAUAAUGUCGGAUAUAUCAAAUAUUACCAUGAAUGAUUUAAUUCAGAUUUAUAAACAAGUUGAAAAGCAUUGUUUAUGUCUUGAUAAUUCAUCAAUUGCCAUUAUUUCCCAAUCUCUGGAAAUUGGGCUUAAAGACAGUAUAUCAACAGACGAAUUACAUGUUUUGCUUCUGAAUAUAAACGUACUUCAUCUAAUGGUAAAAAAAUUAAACGAGC